RNAcentral lists this ribosomal RNA (429 nucleotides) under Acidobacteriota bacterium. RNAcentral's name for it is "Acidobacteria bacterium partial 16S ribosomal RNA". It matches the Rfam family "Bacterial small subunit ribosomal RNA", at positions 355 to 776 of the family's 1533-position model. The record is from RNAcentral. Lineage: Bacteria; Pseudomonadati; Acidobacteriota.
UGGGGAAUAUUGCACAAUGGGCGCAAGCCUGAUGCAGCCAUGCCGCGUGUAUGAAGAAGGCCUUCGGGUUGUAAAGUACUUUCAGUCGGGAGGAAGGUGGUAAGGUUAAUAACCUUGGCAAUUGACGUUACCGACAGAAGAAGCACCGGCUAACUCCGUGCCAGCAGCCGCGGUAAUACGGAGGGUGCAAGCGUUAUUCGGAAUUACUGGGCGUAAAGCGCACGCAGGCGGUUGAUUGAGUCAGAUGUGAAAUCCCCGGGCUUAACCCGGGAAUUGCAUCUGAUACUGGUAAGCUAGAGUCUUGUAGAGGGGGGUAGAAUUCCAUGUGUAGCGGAGAAAUGCGUAGAGAUGUGGAGGAAUGCCGGUGGCGAAGGCGGCACCCUGAACAAAGACUGACGCUCAGGUGAGAAAGCGUGGGGAGCAAACAGG